This 542-nucleotide ribosomal RNA is filed under the name Euryattus sp. Tualapa. RNAcentral describes it as "partial 16S ribosomal RNA". The stretch from base 155 to 450 matches the Rfam family "Archaeal large subunit ribosomal RNA", at positions 2151 to 2715 of the family's 2987-position model. The record is from RNAcentral. Lineage: Eukaryota; Metazoa; Arthropoda; Arachnida; Araneae; Salticidae.
UGCUCAAUGAAUAUUAAAUAGCCGCAAUUUGUGCUAAGGUAGCAUAAUCAUUUGUCUUCUAAUUAAAGACUAGAAUAAAAGAUCUAACAUUUAAAUUUAUUUAUUUUUUUUAAAAAUCAAAAUUUUCCUAAAUGUAAAAAGACAUUUCUAAAAAAGAAAGACGACAAGACCCUAUUAAACUUAACUUAAGUUAAACUGGGGUAGUUUAUUAAUUAUUAUUUUAUAUAAAUAUAUAUCUAUAAUCAUCCAAUUUCAUUGAUUAAUUCAGUUACUAUAGGGAUAACAGCGCAAUUUUUAUUUAAAGAUCUUAUAUAAAUAAUAGAUUACGACCUCGAUGUUGAAUUAAUUACCUAACUAAAGCAAAUUUUAAAAAAGGAAGUCUGUUCGACUUUUAAUUAAUUACAUGAUUUGAGUUCAGACCGGCGCAAGCCAGGUCGGCUUCUAUCUUCUAAAUCAUUUCUUUACAGUACGAAAGGACCCAAAGAUUAUUUAUAAUUAUUUGGCAGAAAAAUGCAUUAGAAUUAGAAUCUAAUAAAACUAAA